Paramacrobiotus metropolitanus is the source of this 894-nucleotide long non-coding RNA. RefSeq lists it as uncharacterized. The transcript is spliced from 3 exons. The record is from RefSeq and is a predicted model, not a curated record. Lineage: Eukaryota; Metazoa; Tardigrada; Eutardigrada; Parachela; Macrobiotidae.
UUCGUCGCAUCGAAUUUGCCAAUAAUAGACCUUCGCAUAACAGUUGUUUCAAACUGUUAUAUUCUUUUUCGUGCAUUUCUGUCUAAUCUUUUUUUACGUGCUUAUCUUGUCUCAGGUGUUCAUAGUAUUGGCACGUUGUCUGCGCAUAUCCCAGUAUAAACUUCUGAUAAUAGAGCGCUAAUCCGAGGAAUGACCUUAACUGUCUUUCGGUUUGAUGGCCUUUGAAUUCUUAUACUGCAGUGACCUUUUUCUGGUCCAUUCUAAUUCCGUCCCCGCCGAAGAUGUGACCAGAAAUCCCAUUUCUUUCAUUCCAAAUUCACACUUUGUUGGUUUUAUCGUGAAUCCGACUUCGACCAGAAUCUGACUUUGUCGACGCACAUUUGAAAUGUUGGUGGUCCGUCGCAAAUUCCAAAUGGCAUUCUUUUAAACCGGUACAUGCCAUGCCGGUACAUGCCCACCGGUACAUGUUACAAAGGUCGUCUUGUCUAUUGACGCCGGAUCCAUUGGAAUUUUCCAAAAUCCGCUUUUUAAGUCCAUUUUCGCGUGUUAUUUGUUGCCUGCGCACGCAUCAAACAGUUCAUCCGGGUUCCCUAACGGCACUACUGGAAAACUCAAGUCAGCAUCCGGUGGUUCAAUGACGCCUUGCGCCAGCAUCUCUUCAAUAUGUUUUGUUAUAAAUUCCCGAUCUCUCCAACUGGUUCUGGCCGGAUUACAUUUCACCGGUUUCGCUUAAUGGAUUAUUGUGCGCCUGUCGUUUUUCCGCUGCUUAAAACCUCCAAGGAUAAAGUUGAGCGUUGUAUCGAAAAGUUUGUGUCCUCGGUGCGUCUCGGCAACGAAACUUGUGAAUAUCGGCUCAGGCUGGAAGAACUCCACUGGGAUAAUUUCAGAAUACGA